UACCAGCACCCCGAGUGGUCGGGACGUUUAUUGGGCCUAAAGCAUCCGUAGCCGGUUCUACAAGUCUUCCGUUAAAUCCACCUGCUUAACAGAUGGGCUGCGGAAGAUACUAUAGAGCUAGGAGGCGGGAGAGGCAAGCGGUACUCGAUGGGUAGGGGUAAAAUCCGUUGAUCCAUUGAAGACCACCAGUGGCGAAGGCGGCUUGCCAGAACGCGCUCGACGGUGAGGGAUGAAAGCUGGGGGAGCGAACCGG
RNAcentral lists this ribosomal RNA (253 nucleotides) under uncultured bacterium. RNAcentral's name for it is "partial 16S ribosomal RNA". It matches the Rfam family "Archaeal small subunit ribosomal RNA", at positions 474 to 727 of the family's 1478-position model. The record is from RNAcentral.